Molecule: long non-coding RNA, 1862 nt
Filed under: Equus caballus (horse)
Lineage: Eukaryota; Metazoa; Chordata; Mammalia; Perissodactyla; Equidae
Description: lncRNA (ENSECAG00000059674.1)
Source: RNAcentral
AGCACGGGGCUGGAGGAAAACUGAAACCUUCUCCUAAAUUAGAAUCAGUCUAAGGUUCCUGGAAAGCCAGGGCUUCUGUAGUUGUCCCAGAGUUCUUCAAUAAUCUGUUCAGUGUUUUUUUUUCAGUCUUUUUCUCUUUGCUUUUUGAGUUUUAGAGGUUUCUAUCGAUGUGCUCUCGAGCUCAGAGGUUCUCUCCUCAGCCAUGUCCAGUCUGCCAACAAGUCCCUCAGAGGCGUUCUUCACUCCGUCACAGUGUUGUCGAGCUCUAGUAUUUCUUCUUGCUUCUGUCUUAGAUUUUGCAUAUCACCGCUUACAUUGCCCAGCUGUUCCUGCGUAUUGACUACUUUUUCCAUUAGAGCUCUUAGCUUAUUACCCGUAGUUCUUUUAAAUUCCUGGCCUGAUAACGCUAAUAUCCCCGCCAUGUCCGGGUCUGGUUCUGAUGCUUGCUCUGUCUCUUCAGACUGUUUUUUACCCUUAGGUGUGCCUAGCAAUUCUUUGUUGAAGUGGACGUGAUGGACCGGGUAGUAGGCACUCCGGAAACAGGCCUCACGUGCUGUGGUGGUGAGAUGAGGAAAUUGGGGCACAGAGAAGUUGACUAUUUGCUCACUUUCACUUGGCCUGAAAGGGGUGUGGUUGAAUUUGGACUCCCGGCUUUCUGGCUCUGCAGAAACGUCUGAUACUGAUCGCCUCCUCUGCAUCGCCCCUCAAAUUUAGGCCCUCCUGCUGUCUCCUUUAGAAGAUUUCGGAAGCUCUGUGACCUGCCUCGCUUGCAAUGGCCAGGCCCGCUCAAAGCUCCAGGAUUCCCUGCUGGGCAGUCACACACCUGCCAAAGCACAGCAUUCAAGUCUCCCAAGAAACCAGCCAUGGAAGGCUUCCUACCUGAGCAAACACUCUUUGUUUGACUUGUUCAGAGACCACAGAGGCCAGCACACCUGCAGAUGGGAGGAGAAAGUCUGGCUCCAUUCCUGCUAAGACCCGACUCAAAGACUCAGCCUCCUUGAGCUCUCUGCAGGGUGAUGUUACUGUCUGUUUCCCCAGAGGGAGACGCCACUGGGGCCUGUCUGGCUGUGCUAGUCUGGAUUUUCAUGUUUUGUUAUUUUCCUGUAUCUCAUCAGUGAGAGAAACAGCUUGCAAUUUAUGACUUCCUUACUCAUUUUUUUCCCUUAGUGUCUCAAGUCUUCUCCUGUAUCCCCCCGUCCUCCCCUCAGCUGUCAGUGUGAGCUUUCCUGUAUUUGAUCAGACUCCUUUCCUCCCAUUCCCCACAGGCAGCGCUUGACCAAGAGGUGAAGACGAGAUGCGGGCUCUUGGUUCUGGGGAAAGGUGGUUCCUCUCGGUCAGACUUUAGGGCUCUGCAAUCCCAGCCGUCGUUUCCAUCAGAUGUGAAGACAAAAGCUCCAAGCAGUUAACUCAUCUGCCCGAAGUUGUAUGGUGAAGCUGGCGACCGGGGAGGCCAGGAGGCAUCCUGGUUAGAAAAGCAGCUUGAACGGAACCAUGAAAGACAGCCAGGCCACCCACAGAACUACAAGGGCUGGCAAAAUCCAUGCUAAACUCGGCUGUCCUCCCUCCUGGAUCUGUGCCCACGCAGCCAAGAUUCAAUGGACGAAAACAUACACCUCUGCUUACUGACCUCUCCUUGGUUCAUGACAACCUAUCUCAAAUGAGCACUCCACGCGACCCUGCAAUUUGAUUCUCUUUGUUUUUGUUUUGUUUUUUUUUGCUUUUUCUCCCAAAAAUCCCCCCAGCACAUACUUGUAUAUUUUAGUUGUGGGUCCUUCUAGUUGUAGCAUGUGGGAUGCCACCACAGCAUGGCCUGAUGAGCGGUGCCAUAUCCGUGCCCAGGAUCCAAACCGGUGAAACCCUGG